UAUGUCAUACGUCAAUUUUCCCAUCCAGAUCGUGUUGCGAUUAUUUUGGUAAUGGAGGAAUUUAGAAGACAAUGUCAAAAGACGAUCGAAAGGAGUAAUCAUUGCAGUUUCACAGUCAUCAGCCCGCCUUUCUCACAUGCCGAUUUGUUUGGUGAUUUAGUGUUCUCCAUGUUCUUUCGGCGAUAAAGGUCGUUUUACGGAGUCGCCCAUGUCGACCGGGGUUUUCCAUGGUUUCCCUCGGUCACCAGGAGUGUCUGCAAAUGAAGUACAGCUCCUGGGGCAAAUGCGACGUGAUUGGAGGAAGACGGCCCAUGGUAACGCAUAAAAAUGGCAGUAGAAAACCGGAUAAGCUCUACAAAUACUGUAUCCAAGGAAAUAUAUAUCUAUAUUAUUGUUA
Long non-coding RNA from Diachasma alloeum, 397 nucleotides. RefSeq lists it as uncharacterized. NCBI's taxonomy places the organism in Eukaryota, Metazoa, Arthropoda, Insecta, Hymenoptera, Braconidae. The transcript is spliced from 2 exons. The record is from RefSeq and is a predicted model, not a curated record.